This 254-nucleotide ribosomal RNA is filed under the name uncultured bacterium. RNAcentral's name for it is "partial 16S ribosomal RNA". It matches the Rfam family "Bacterial small subunit ribosomal RNA", at positions 524 to 776 of the family's 1533-position model. The record is from RNAcentral.
UACGAACCGUGCGAACGUUAUUCGGAAUCAUUGGGCUUAAAGGGCGCGUAGGCGGCGGUGUAAGUUGGAAGUGAAAUCCCAUCGGCUCAACCGUGGAAUUGCUCCCAGUACUGCAUCGCUCGAGGGGGAUAGGGGUCUGCGGAACUACCGGUGGAGCGGUGAAAUGUGUUGAUAUCGGUGGGAACGCCAGUGGCGAAAGCGGCAGACUGGACCCUUCCUGACGCUGAGGCGCGAAAGCUAGGGGAGCAAACGGG